This 567-nucleotide long non-coding RNA is filed under the name Hordeum vulgare. RNAcentral describes it as "long non-coding RNA (HVUL_LNC003813)". The record is from RNAcentral. Lineage: Eukaryota; Viridiplantae; Streptophyta; Magnoliopsida; Poales; Poaceae.
CAGGGAGUUUAAUGGGUAAGAUGAAUUACUGCUACUUCAUCAUUAGGCUUGAUUGACAUUACUCUUGCAGGGAGUUUAAGGGGUAAGAAGAAUUACCAGGACUGCAAGGGGGCUGAAUACAAAUAUAGCAGUGGUUCUCUGGAUAUAUGCGCCAGCGAUAAAGUUCAUUAGGGCAGCAAAGAAGGAGACUGCACCAACCAGGUAGGUGAUCACAGCUGAGGAGGUCACAGUAUCCAGAUGUAGUGUCCUGUGGAAAUAGGCUACAAGACUGAAGUUUGCGCUGCUGGGGCAACUCCGCAGCACGACCAAAACUGCAAAUGAACAUAGAAUUCAGUUCCAACAGAUUGUUUGACUCGGGAUCGAAAUGCAUGCAACUAUAUUAUCUCAGGAUCACGAAGAGAGAACCACAGCGUAUUUUUCAGGUUAGGCCAGGCCAUUCAAUUCUUACAACCCAUGAGAUUCACUCAGUUUUACCAGGCUGAGCUGUACAUUACCAACUGAAAGGUAUAUCAAGUUAGAUCAGCUGAGUCUGAAACAACUAGGCUAUCAAUUAAAAGAAAGGCAGAG